This 68-nucleotide transfer RNA is filed under the name Batrachuperus yenyuanensis (Yenyuan stream salamander). RNAcentral's name for it is "tRNA-Tyr". Lineage: Eukaryota; Metazoa; Chordata; Amphibia; Caudata; Hynobiidae. The record is from RNAcentral.
UGAUAAAAAAAGGACUUUAACCUUUAUAAAAGGGGCUACAACCCUUCACCUAAUUCGGCCACCUUACC